This is a non-coding RNA of Coturnix japonica (Japanese quail), 3598 nucleotides long. The record is from RefSeq and is a predicted model, not a curated record. Lineage: Eukaryota; Metazoa; Chordata; Aves; Galliformes; Phasianidae.
CCGAGCCCUGCGGGGCCUCCCCUUAGAGCCGGCCCAGCGCUGCAGGAGGUGGUGCUACAUCAGCACGGGGAUUCAUGUCAGGCUGAACUCGAGCCCUGCGGAGCCCAGCAGCGUUUCACAGCUGUGUGACUCGGGAACAGUGCUGUCACCUUGACUGUCCUCUCAAGUUUAGACAGAGCCUCCUCGUAUUGCUGCACCAACGGCUUUAACAACCUGCCCUUGACCAAGUGCUUCUCUAUGUCUGGAAUGCCGGCAUCCUUCAACAUCUGCAGAAACCUGCGUUGCUGCACAAUAAAACAGACACAGGAGAAAAAGAAGUGAGUGCUCCCCCUUCACAAGGCGCACCCUGCUGCGUCCCAGCUGGAACACGAGCACAUCUGGGGAUUCUCUGCCUAGUCAUGGAAUUAAGAUUUUCCAAGUACAAAACACAGCUGAUUGGAGAAGGUUAAAAAGUAACGUGAACUUUCUGCUCCUUACAGUCCUCCAUCUUUCCAUUUCAAAUGAACCUGAUACCAAUGUCAUACCUGGAUUCUGAGGACCAUGCUGAAAGCUAAGCCUGCUUUUCCUGCACGAGCUGUUCUUCCAACACUGAAAUCAGAACAAGGAACAUCAAGUCAGUUCAGUCACGCAUUAGUCACUGCCAUUAUCAGCUUCAGGAGCCUGGUUGAGAAACUCUCCAGAUUUAGGAGAAAGUCUGGAUUUGCAUGUUUAACAGGGCCAUGUGUUACAAAGGAUGAACAUUUCCAGAGUCCAUUUACAGCUGCUGAGCCUCUGCAGUGUUCUGAGCAUCUGGAAACCCAACUUGAUGCUCUCCAGGACAAUGCUUGUAGUAGCUCCUGUAGAAUACAUUUAUAUAACAGGGUGCCAGAUUUCUGUUUUAAUCCCACAUUGCUCUCAUCAUGCCAUGAAUUAGCUUCCGAUUUAACAAGCUAGUUCUACAUUAAAAGGAGUUAAGUUAAAAGGAGUUUCAGCUCUGGAUUUUUCUGAGUGCAUGUUGCUUAUGCUAAGUGUUUCAGAGAACACCGAGCUCAAACACCUUCCUUUUGUUCCUGCUUCUCUUACCGGUGGAUGUAUGUCCUGAUGAACUGAGGUGUGUCAUAGUUUAUUACACAAUUCACUCCUUUAAUGUCAAUCCCUCGAGCAGUGGCAUCUGUGCUGAUUAACCUGGAUUUAAAUGUACAUACAGUUGCUUUCAGGUAACAUCUCUGCCAUUACACAAGCACACACAAAACAGCUGAACACAGCACAACUACUGCUUAUCUGUUAAAACUGGGUAAACUUCUCAGCUCUAAGCAUUAAAGCAGCAUUGGAAGUCACACAGUAUAACUGGCAUUAGCUGUCUGUUCCAAAUGUCACUACAGUUAUAUAUGAAAAACUACAGAGCAUUUCCAAGUUCUCCAAGCAUGUAACACUGAGCCAGGCAGCUGCCAGCACAACAGAGGUUACAAACCUGUAAACCAUCUGAGCCCUGUUUAAAUAUCCUCUUAGUUUUACACACUAGAAUUAGUAUAUGUCCUAAGACUUACAGGAAACUCAUUUAAGAUACUCACAGUUGUAUCUUUCCUUGUUCAAAUUCCUUCAUGGUCCUUUGUCGCUCAUUUGGAGGUAUACGAGAAGAAAAUUCGGCCACAGUGAUACCACCAAAAGCCUGAACAAGCAGGAACAAUCUGCAGGUGGAUGGGAUAGAAACCAUCGCUUCACUACUUAACCCUGUAACACCACUAUGGCAGCCACCUGCCAAAUGAUCUCAUGAAUAUACUCACCUGUGAGAAGCCUCUCUGGAGUUGGUAAAGCACAACACACGGGUAAACUUCUUUGUUAGCAUGAAGUGCAAGAGGAGCAAUGGCUUGGAAUUCAGGUCACAAGGCACAUAACUUUGCUGCAGUCAUCAGGGAAGAAGUUCAGAGACAAAUUACUUCUCACCAAAGCUAUUUUCCCUGAAACUUACUAGGAUAUCUUCCCUGAAACUUACUACUUGUCCAUAACAUAUAUAGGCUUGGAUGUUUUGCAUCUAACAGCAACAAAACCAGAUCCCAUAGUGCCACCCCCUAUUUAGAACAAGUCACAGCAACACAGCACAAGGCAGAGGCAGGAGACCUAUUUUUUUCUAGUGCUCUGACUUCCCUAUAGCAAGUAUCAGCAUGCGCUGUCUUCUUGUCUACAUACUGAUCUGUACUCGCAUGCCUCAAAACGCAUGCUAUACGUAUAUAUGUAAAAUAUAACUUGAGAUGGACAGUUGAGAAGUGCUACAUUACUACUUAUCUCCACUCCCUUUUGCAAGCAAACUUAAUUUGAUACGAAGAGCUUAAUUUUAAAGAAUUCCAGUCCUGACCAAACAAACAAUUAGUAAUGAGAAAACAGAUGAGUGAAGGCAGAGCUCUUUGAGUAAAAAACCUCCCAAAGCCACUUUCUUUCAGCAUCUCUGUCAUACAAGGCACUGAAGGAAAGGUGUAUUUGUCUGUAAGCUACAAACAUCACUAGAUACCCCACACUUAAACUAAUCUCAAAGUCUAACUUAUUCAAACACUUUUUUUUCCCAGCAGCUACCAAAUAGGUUAUUUUUAUGGAUGCAAGAGAAUUAAUAUCAUACCGACAGCCCCUCAGGGAGUGUGUACUUCUCUUCAGAAUCUUGUUCGGCCUCUGUUCCAUCUCUGAGUGUUUUUUUCUCAGAGUAGACAGAUGUGAAGAGGCGAGGCUGAAACAAGCCCAACUGCUGCAGCUUCUCUGGGUCCUGGGUCAGCGUAGCUGAAAACAGCAGUUUCUGUAAGGGUAUCUGAGGGUAACAGCAGCUGAAACAAACAGCAUAUGGAAACUGAACUCUGAGCAUAGGGCAAAGGAAUUCCCCCACAUGUGCUUUCAGAUGAUGUUAUGAGGGAAGUAAUUAACGAUUUUUAACACCCUUUUCCCGCUCUGGGCCCUUCUGGUAAAUCUUGCUUAAUAGUGGAGCUCACAGAUGGAACUGGAUCAGCAUUCUUAACUCAACUGCACAGCACUGAUUUGUUACCUUGGCACACAUCCCUGCACCCCAGUCACCCCCACCCCAAUCCCAGUCACUUCCUUCCUCCAUUGAUGAUCUCACUUUCUGAUGCACUUCUGCCAUGCUAUUUGAAAAGAGCAGCUGCAAAUGCACAGUUCAGCAUUUCCCUUCCAAGUCUGUCAGAGGGCAACGCUCCUGUUUGCUGUGUGAAUGAUUCAGAGACCUGCAGUAUUUGUGUAUUCUUUUGGUGCUGCUUUAGAAUAGUUAGGGAAUGCCUGAAGAAGGCAAUACUUAGAUUUCAGUCUAAAAGCCAUCCCUCAAUACCAGCUGUUCAGUGCCUGCUUUCACAAGCUUUGAAGAAGUAGCUGCCUCAGUUUGGCAGACAUUUCUCGGAAUAACCUUGCAAACAGUUCAAAGAAAUGCGUUUUGCAGCUUACCUCGCUGCUGUGACAGGUCCUGGUAUGGUCCUCCGAAAAAGUCUAUUAGAACCAGCUUCAUUUUCUGCUUGGAACGCAGCUUUGACAACCUGGUUCAGCCAAUUCUGGUGCAUGUCAUCAAUCAUACGGUCAGCUUCGUCUAUGAUCUGAAUUCACACAGACAAAAGACAUUACCUGUUAAAUA